This 253-nucleotide ribosomal RNA is filed under the name uncultured bacterium. RNAcentral's name for it is "partial 16S ribosomal RNA". It matches the Rfam family "Bacterial small subunit ribosomal RNA", at positions 524 to 776 of the family's 1533-position model. The record is from RNAcentral.
GACAGAGGUGGCAAGCGUUGUUCGGAUUUAUUGGGCGUAAAGGGUCCGUAGGUGGUCGUGUAAGUCUGACGUGAAAUCCCAUGGCUCAACCGUGGAACUGCGUUGGAAACUGCAUGACUUGAGUACCGCAGAGGUAAAGGGAAUUCUCGGUGUAAGGGUGAAAUCUGUAGAUAUCGAGAGGAACACCAGUGGCGAAGGCGCUUUACUGGGCGGUUACUGACACUGAGGGACGAAAGCAAGGGGAGCAAACAGG